GGGUGGAGCAGCCUGGUAGCUCGUCGGGCUCAUAACCCGAAGGUCGUCGGUUCGAAUCCGGCCCCCGCAACCA
RNAcentral lists this transfer RNA (73 nucleotides) under Oceanospirillaceae bacterium. Its description in RNAcentral is "tRNA-Met". It matches the Rfam family "tRNA". Rfam says of the family: Transfer RNA (tRNA) molecules are approximately 80 nucleotides in length. The record is from RNAcentral. Lineage: Bacteria; Pseudomonadati; Pseudomonadota; Gammaproteobacteria; Oceanospirillales; Oceanospirillaceae.